AUGGUACUACUGAAUUUAUCCUCAUCACCAUCAUCGUCAUCAUCAUCAAAACAGAAUUCUGGCGAAGGGAAACAAGGUGUGGAAAAACAAGAGAAGAAAGCUGUUAUCCUUCUACCUGUCUCCACAAGGACCCCACCUGUACAUAGGAAAGAUGGACAAGGAGGAAGAAUCCUAAUGGGUGAGGGGAACCCACCCAAGGAGCCGGUGUGUGGCCCGGAAACACAGAGCCGAAGAGGUUCAGGAAGCCCCCAAGUCCAUCCACUGAAGGUACUGAGACAGUGUCACUGGAACUGGGAUGAAACUGUAGCUGGCACUAACUAAGGAGCAACCUUUACAGUGGAAGAUGUGACCACAGGAGAAUGGCCUGCCAGGGUCCAGGAAAAGGGACUCCCCAAAGCAAGAACUCAG
RNAcentral lists this long non-coding RNA (408 nucleotides) under Aotus nancymaae (Ma's night monkey). Its description in RNAcentral is "lncRNA (ENSANAG00000038772.1)". The record is from RNAcentral. Lineage: Eukaryota; Metazoa; Chordata; Mammalia; Primates; Aotidae.